UACGGAGGGUGCAAGCGUUGCUCGGAAUCACUGGGCGUAAAGCGACCGCAGGCGGCCUGACAAGUCGGAUGUGAAAGCCCUGGGCUCAACUCAGGAAUUGCAUUCGAAACUGGUAGGCUCGAGUACGGGAGAGGGGUGUGGAAUUCCUGGUGUAGGGGUGAAAUUCGUUGAUAUCAGGAGGAACACCGGCGGCGAAGGCGGCCCCCUGGCCCGCAACUGACGCUCAUGGUCGAAAGCGUGGGGAGCAAACAGG
RNAcentral lists this ribosomal RNA (253 nucleotides) under uncultured bacterium. Its description in RNAcentral is "partial 16S ribosomal RNA". It matches the Rfam family "Bacterial small subunit ribosomal RNA", at positions 524 to 776 of the family's 1533-position model. The record is from RNAcentral.